AACGAACGCUGGCGGCAUGCCUAACACAUGCAAGUCGAACGAGACCUUCGGGUCUAGUGGCGCACGGGUGCGUAACGCGUGGGAACCUGCCCUUAGGUUCGGAAUAACUCCCCGAAAGGGGUGCUAAUACCGGGUAAUGUCUUCGGACCAAAGAUUUUUCGCCUUUGGAUGGGCCCGCGUUGGAUUAGCUAGUUGGUAGGGUAAAAGCCUACCAAGGCGACGAUCCAUAGCUGGUCUGAGAGGAUGAUCAGCCACACUGGGACUGAGACACGGCCCAGACUCCUACGGGAGGCAGCAGUGGGGAAUAUUGGACAAUGGGCGAAAGCCUGAUCCAGCAAUGCCGCGUGAGUGAUGAAGGCCUUAGGGUUGUAAAGCUCUUUUACCCGGGAUGAUAAUGACAGUACCGGGAGAAUAAGCUCCGGCUAACUCCGUG
This 433-nucleotide ribosomal RNA is filed under the name uncultured bacterium. Its description in RNAcentral is "partial 16S ribosomal RNA". It matches the Rfam family "Bacterial small subunit ribosomal RNA", at positions 29 to 507 of the family's 1533-position model. The record is from RNAcentral.